AAACCUUGUCUGUGUUUCUGGGACCUUGAAGUGAAAAUAUUAUGUAAGUUCNGUUUAAUAUCUGAUAUGUUCUCGAUAUGAGAACUGUCUAUUAAACAAAUUUUUGGAACAGGGAGUUGGAUUAGGAGCUUGCUCUGUCCACUCCACGCAUCCGCCUGGUAUUGCAGUACUUCUGGGCAGGGUGCACUUCCC
This 192-nucleotide small nuclear RNA is filed under the name Gopherus agassizii (Agassiz's desert tortoise). Its description in RNAcentral is "U2 spliceosomal RNA (ENSGAGG00000005152.1)". It matches the Rfam family "U2 spliceosomal RNA". From Rfam's summary of the family: U2 is a small nuclear RNA (snRNA) component of the spliceosome (involved in pre-mRNA splicing). Complementary binding between U2 snRNA (in an area lying towards the 5' end but 3' to hairpin I) and the branchpoint sequence (BPS) of the intron results the bulging out of an unpaired adenosine, on the BPS, which initiates a nucleophilic attack at the intronic 5' splice site, thus starting the first of two transesterification reactions that mediate splicing. Lineage: Eukaryota; Metazoa; Chordata; Testudines; Testudinidae. The record is from RNAcentral.